CUGUGCCAGUGUGUCAGACACCAGAGGGAGAGAGAUGUAAAAUUAGGUCAGCGGCUCUGUAAACUGAUUAAAGCUCAUGCUUCACGCUUCCAAGGAAAACAGCCAAUACAAAAGGGAAUGAUCCCUGGCUCAAGAUGAGAAGGAAGGAGAGCUCUCUAUGUUCGUAGUCCAGCCAUAUAGGAUGCUUGGCCAAAAUGAAGGUAUAGAAAAGGAACAACCAAAGAAAGAACAGGACAUACUGGAUCUUUCUGGGUAUCAUCAAACUUCUCCAUCCAAGAAUAAGGGACAGCAGCAUCUCUUUGACAUCCAUAGCCCAUUUCUGCUUUGCCAAUAUCACUUGUGCAUCUGGGGCCACCAAUGCAUCCUAUCCUAGCAAGUAUCAAUGGGAAUAAAGAAGAAACUUAGAAAACGACAAAAUUCAAGAAGAGCUGAAGCUCUGGAGCUAGCUUUGGUGGAGAAAGAAUGAUGCGGGAUGUUGGACUAAGCGAGAAAUGCAUAAGAAGCUGCUGAGUUUAACACAAAGCCAUAUAGAGGUCAUUUCUAUAGAGCACAAUAAAUACCAUUAUGUGUUAGACGGAUGGAUGGAUCACUUUUCUCCCCUUGCAAGGACCCUGGUCUAACCCCAGAUAUCAUCUCUUGGACUCUGCUAGCAGCCAUGGAAAUAGUACCCUGCUUCCAUCCCCGCCUCUUCUCAUUCCAUUUUUCAAGUAUAGACACAGCUUAAGGGACAAACAAGAUUCAAAACAUGAGAUUUCCAAAAGUAAAUUUUCAAGGUACUCCUAUGGGAAAGCGCCGUUGAGAAUAUCCUUCUCAGGUUUAGCACAGUCCCUCAAGGUAAGCACCUUCAACCCUGCUUCGACUGCAAAGAGUUCUUUAAGAAGGUAUGACUGAGAGGUCUCCGCUUUUCCUUCUUCCUAUUAAAAAUGGCUCUUAGAUGCUUUUAUUCUUAGUGAGGCCAUCCUAUUGUAGCACCAAUAUAGUUAUAUAAGCGCAUCGUUUCAUGCUCUAUUCACCUUCUGAAUCUUUUAACCCCACCUCCCUCAGCUGAGAAAAGAAAUACUAUGGGUUUAAAUCUAUCCUCUAUCAGCUGCAGCACGAUAAUUCUUACCCUAGGGCCCCAAACCCUCAUUUCAGACGGACUAAUCCAAACCUCUUUUGGAGG
RNAcentral lists this long non-coding RNA (1162 nucleotides) under Homo sapiens (human). RNAcentral describes it as "HSALNT0386889". The record is from RNAcentral. Lineage: Eukaryota; Metazoa; Chordata; Mammalia; Primates; Hominidae.